RNAcentral lists this ribosomal RNA (261 nucleotides) under uncultured bacterium. RNAcentral's name for it is "partial 16S ribosomal RNA". It matches the Rfam family "Bacterial small subunit ribosomal RNA", at positions 793 to 1055 of the family's 1533-position model. The record is from RNAcentral.
GUCCGGGCAGUAAACGAUGUCGACUGGGUAUGCGCGGGCUUGACCCCGUGCGUGCCGGAGCCAACGCGGUAAGUCGACCGCCUGGGGAGUACGGCCGCAAGGCUAAAACUCAAAGGAAUUGACGGGGGCCCGCACAAGCAGCGGAGCGUGCGGUUUAAUUCGACGCAACGCGCAGAACCUUACCAGGCCUUGACAUGCCGCUGCGAGCGCACGGAAACGUGUGACCCUCGAGGGGGCGCACAGGUGCUGCAUGGCUGUCGU